AUGGGAUUAGCUAGUAGGUGGGGUAACGGCUCACCUAGGCGACGAUCCCUAGCUGGUCUGAGAGGAUGACCAGCCACACUGGAACUGAGACACGGUCCAGACUCCUACGGGAGGCAGCAGUGGGGAAUAUUGCACAAUGGGCGCAAGCCUGAUGCAGCCAUGCCGCGUGUAUGAAGAAGGCCUUCGGGUUGUAAAGUACUUUCAGCGGGGAGGAAGGGAGAGUGGUAAUAGCCAUUUUCAAGACGUACCCGCAGA
Molecule: ribosomal RNA, 255 nt
Filed under: uncultured bacterium
Lineage: Bacteria
Description: partial 16S ribosomal RNA
Rfam family: Bacterial small subunit ribosomal RNA
Source: RNAcentral